This 1125-nucleotide ribosomal RNA is filed under the name Triticum aestivum (bread wheat). RNAcentral's name for it is "partial small subunit ribosomal RNA". The record is from RNAcentral. Lineage: Eukaryota; Viridiplantae; Streptophyta; Magnoliopsida; Poales; Poaceae.
AUGAAUGGUGUGUUGACAAAAGGUGGAAAGAGAUAUUUCAUGACUUUGGUUGAUGAUGCGACUAGAUUUUGCUAUGUUUAUUUGUUGCAAACUAAAGAUGAAGCAUUAGACUACUUUAAAACCUAUAAAGCUGAAGUUGAAAAUCAACUAGAGAGAAAGAUCAAGCGUCUUAGGUCCGAUCGUGGUGGAGAGUAUUUUCCCAAAGUUUUUGAUGAAUUUUGUGAGGAACAUGGUAUUAUUCAUGAGAGGACGCCUCCCUAUUCACCUCAAUCAAAUGGAGUGGCCGAGAGGAAAAACCGCACAUUGACUGACUUGGCGAAUGCCAUGUUAGACACUGCUGGUUUAUCUAAGGCAUGGUGGGGGGAGGCUCUAUUGACUUCAUGUCAUGUCCUGAAUAGAGUUCCCAACAAUAAUAAGGAGAAAACCCCUUAUGAGGAGUGGGUUGGGAGAAAACCAUCACUUUCUUAUUUGCGCACUUGGGGAUGUUUGGCAAAGGUCAAUAUUCCUAUUCCUAAGAAACGCAAACUUGGACCAAAGACAGUGGAUUGUGUCUUUCUAGGGUAUGCUCAACGGGGCAUUGCUUAUAGGUUUUUAGUGGUAAAAUCUGAAGUACCUGAUAUGCAUGUUGAUACUAUAAUGGAAUCUCGUGAUGCAACAUUUUUUGAGAACAUAUUUCCUAUGAAAGAUAUGCAUAGCAUUGCUAGAUUUUCUUCUGAGAUAAUUCCUGAAUCUAGUACAACUGAUGAAUAUUUCGAACAAUCACAUGAGGAAGUCCUUGAGAAGGAUAACAAUGAAGUUCCUAUAAGGAACAAGAGACAAAGGAUUGCAAAAUCCUUUGGUGAUGAUUUCAUUGUAUACCUUGUGGACGACACACCCAAGACGAUUGCAGAAGCAUAUGCAUCUCCGGAUGUAGAUGAUUGGAAAGAAGCUGUUCAUAAUGAGAUGGACUCAAUUCUUUCUAAUGGAACUUGGGAACUAACUAAUAGACCAUAUGGUUGUAAACCUGUGGGCUGUAAGUGGGUGUUCAAAAAGAAGCUAAAGCCUGAUGGUACUAUUGAUAAGUACAAGGCGCGGCUAGUGGCCAAGGGCUACACUCAGAAAGAAGGCGAAGAUUACUUUGACACC